GAUUAGAUUUUUACAGAUCUUG
This 22-nucleotide transfer RNA is filed under the name Gerrhonotus infernalis. RNAcentral describes it as "partial tRNA-Ala". The record is from RNAcentral. Lineage: Eukaryota; Metazoa; Chordata; Lepidosauria; Squamata; Anguidae.